GAAGAGGCAGAUUCAGGAAGCCAUUACGCAGCUGGCUGGCAGCGGCUGAGCGAGUCGGAGCUGGGCCCUACGCAGUUUGCGUAACGAGGGGGGUUACCAAAGGCCUGGUGCUUGGCCUUGGACAAGCCCAGCCUAUCCUCUGUAGGAGGGGGUGGGUGAGGAGCGAGGCUAAGGGAGAAGAGAAGGGGAAUUUGGGCGGGUAGGGGAUUAUAAUUUAUUUAAAAGGCGGGGUGGGGAGAGGCCAUGGCUGUCCCAGCCAAGAAGAGGAAGAUGAACUUCUCUGAGCGAGAGGUGGAGAUCAUCGUGGAGGAGUUGGAAUUGAAGAAGCACCUGCUGGUGAACCACUUCAACGCCGGGGUCCCUCUGGCUGCCAAGAGCGCAGCGUGGCAUGGCAUCCUGAGAAGGGUCAAUGCCGUGGCCACCUGCCGCAGGGAGCUGCCCGAGGUCAAGAAAAAGUGGUCUGAUCUCAAGACCGAGGUCCGUCGCAAGGUUGCCCAGGUCCGGGCGGCUGUGGAGGGUGGUGAGGCCCCAGGGCCCACUGAGGACGACGGAGCCGGUGGGCCUGGGACAGGUGGUGGCAGUGGCGGUGGUGGCCCAGCUGUAGCCCCGUACUGCUCACCCCCAUGCAACAACGCAUCUGCAACCUCCUGGGCGAGGCCACCAUCAUCAGCCUGCCCAGUACCACAGAGAUCCACCCCGUGGCCCUUGGACCCACAGCCACUGCAGCCGCAGCCACAGUCACCCUGACACAGAUCCCGGCAGAGACCACCUACCACACGCUGGAGGAGGGAGUGGUGGAGUACUGCACGGCUGAGGCGCCCCCGCCCCUGCCACCCGAGGCCCCGUGGAGGUGAUGGCCCCGCACGCUGACGCCUCGGUCAAGCCACAGGCGCUCAAGAGCCGCAUAGCCCUCAACUCCGCCAAGCUGAUCCAGGAGCAGCGGGUCACCAACCUGCACGUGAAGGAGAUCGCCCAGCACCUGGAGCAGCAGAACGACCUGCUGCAGAUGAUCCGCCGCUCCCAGGAGGUCCAGGCCUGCGCCCAGGAGCGCCAGGCUCAGGCCAUGGAGGGCACCCAGGCGGCCCUGAGCGUCCUCAUCCAGGUCCUCCGGCCCAUGAUCAAAGAUUUCCGCCGCUACUGCAAAGCAACAUGCCCACCCUGCCACUGCCUCUGACCCUGGACAGGUGGCCCAGAACGGGCAGCCUGACGGCGUCAUCCAGUGAGGGCCGGGGUCCAGCCAGCCUUCCACCGGGAGUGGAUGACACGCCGUGGUCUCGCAAGUGGGUCGUGUGGGUGGCCUCAGGCUGGGACCCGCCCCGUGGACAGCUCCAAUGCGAUAGACAUUUAGGGGUCCACUGUUUCUGAGGCUGGAAGGAGACUGGGCAGAAGAAUGGGUUGGGUUCCUAGGACUCAAACUCUCUUACCCCUGCCCCUUGAACUGUCCUGCGAAGAGCCUGAAGAUUGGCUAGGUGGGUGGGGGUCGGGCGGCUGGUGAUGGGACCCAAGUUGGCAUGCGCCAGGGCCUGUGACGUGACCCAGACUCAGACCAGGACCACUGCAAGGAACGGUCUCUCCCUAGCGGGGGGUGGGGAGGGAUGGGGUCUCACAGCCGGGCGUCUGCGCUGAAACACCCCCUCCGUCGAGGUGCCAUCUUCCGGAGUAAGCUAAUGUCAGUAGUGCUGGCGGUAGCACCAUAAUAUCUCCUUCCUCCCUCGGGAGGCAGACCGCCGUGUGGGCCUGAGGAGGAAACCCCACCCUUUCCUCCUUGUCACUGUGCCUCAGUUCUCAGGGGACUCUAGUUAGCGCCAUGCUCUCCACCCACCCAGCGCGCCUGGGCACAGCAGGGGCCCCUGCAUGACACCCAGGCUGCGGCCCAUCAGGAAUGCUGGCUGUGGUGGGGACAGCUUGGCCGCCGUCUGGUCUUCCACUGCGACCCCGGGCAGCCCUUUGGUGGUCUGUCCCAACGGCUUUUGACUCAGGUCAAGCAUCAGGCUUUGGGUGCUGUCAAUUUUCUUUGCUGUCCCACAGCAGCGGCUCUGAGGCGACCUGUGGGCUCCUUCCAGAAGGCUUGCUUCAAGCCAGUGGUAUUUAUUCGGUGCAUGAACCUGCUCUGGGAAGGCCUCCAGGACUUCGGAGGGCCGCUCUGGCCACGCCCUUCCUCCUUUCUGCUCUGCUGCCUGGGUGUUUCCCAAACUCAGCGCAGAGAAACACCUGCUCAGCAUCCUCCCCCGCGACUCCCUUCUCACCGUGUUCGGCGCCUCGUGUUUGUGUUCUCGGGAGACCUCCACCCACUAGUUGGAGGAAGCUGAAGGCCUGGUUGGCCCUGAUGGGUGCGGUGAGGGAGUUGGAGACCUACGAAGUGGGACCUUGGACUUUUGUGCUUGGGGAACAGCAGACCAGUCUUGGGGUGCUGACAGAGGUGGUGUUCCCUGUUCUGUCUUGACACUUUCCCCCCAUUUGUAGAGACUUUACCCAAGUGGCAUUUGUCUGUUUUGUUUGCAGAGCAGCCACAGUCCCCAAUCAUUUCCUGCUUGCCUUUUCUUUUUCCUUUUUUUUCUUUUUUCCUUUUCCUUUUUCUUUUUUUUUUUUUUUUUUUUUUUUUGGCUUUUUAGGGCCGCACCUGCGCAUAUGGAGGUUCCCAGGCUUGGGGACUAAUUGGAGCUGCAGCUGCCGGCCUACGCCAGAGCCCCAGCCACACGGGAUCCAAGCUGUGUCUGCAACCUACACCACAGCUCACGGCAACGCCGGAUCCUUAACCCAGUGAGCGAGGCCAGGGAUCGAACCUGCAACCUCAUGGUUCCUAGUUGGAUUCAUUUCUGCCGCGCCAUGAUGGGAACUCAUCCCGCUUGCCAUUUUGCUGCCAAGGCCUUGGCCUCCCGUGACCGAUGGUUACAACUCAAGGCUCCAGAGCUCAGCUAAACCACGAGGUACUGCCCUUCUGGGCACGUUUAGAAUCGCCCACCUCCGCUCUUGCAUUUAUGGGACGAUGCCCCCAAAGACAGUUGGGUGGUGACUGCCAUACUACAACCUCUCCGUGGGGAGCCGAGGGCAGUGCCAGCUGCAGAGCAUUGGAGAGGAAUCAGACUGGUAAGGGAGCCGGGUGGCAGAAGGAAAGCUCUCAGCGUGGCUGGGAAGCGGCAGCCUGGGCGCCCUCCCUCCGUGGAGCCUGGUGGCCCCAGCAGGGUGGCUUCGGGGACUUCCUGAGGGUUUGUACCUUGGUUUGGUUUUUCUCCGGGGUUGGCAAUCUGAGCCAAUGUUGUGUCUGUUCCAAUUGCGUGUAACGAGGAAGUUUGGAUCAUUUCAACGGACUGGUUCUUUCCAGGUCAUAAUUUUAAAUUAAAGAAAUAUCACGUUUUUAAGUAUACA
This 3366-nucleotide long non-coding RNA is filed under the name Sus scrofa (pig). RNAcentral describes it as "lncRNA (ENSSSCG00000056456.1)". Lineage: Eukaryota; Metazoa; Chordata; Mammalia; Artiodactyla; Suidae. The record is from RNAcentral.